UGGCGGACGGGUGAGUAAUGCUGGGAAACUGCCUGAUGGAGGGGGAUAACUACUGGAAACGGUAGCUAAUACCGCAUAACGUCGCAAGACCAAAGAGGGGGACCUUGGGCCUCUUGCCAUCGGAUGUGCCCAGAUGGGAUUAGCUAGUAGGUGGGGUAAAGGCUCACCUAGGCGACGAUCCCUAGCUGGUCUGAGAGGAUGACCAGCCACACUGGAACUGAGACACGGUCCAG
Molecule: ribosomal RNA, 233 nt
Filed under: uncultured bacterium
Lineage: Bacteria
Description: partial 16S ribosomal RNA
Rfam family: Bacterial small subunit ribosomal RNA
Source: RNAcentral